This is a long non-coding RNA of Oncorhynchus tshawytscha (Chinook salmon), 251 nucleotides long. Lineage: Eukaryota; Metazoa; Chordata; Actinopteri; Salmoniformes; Salmonidae. The record is from Ensembl.
CUUUCCUGUGGCGGAUCUCAUGAGAGACAGUUAACUCUAAUGAACUUAUCCUCUGCAGCAGUGGUAACUCUGGGUCGUCCUUUCCUGUGGCGGAUCUCAUGGGAGACAGUUAACUCCAAUGAACUUAUCCUCUGCAGCAGAGGUAACUCUGGGUCUUCCUUUCCUGUGGCGGAUCUCAUGAGAGACAGUUAACUCUAAUGAACUUAUCCUCUGCAGCAGAGGUAACUCUGGGUCGUCCUUUCCUGUGGGGG